Long non-coding RNA from Ostrinia nubilalis (European corn borer), 649 nucleotides. RefSeq lists it as uncharacterized. NCBI's taxonomy places the organism in Eukaryota, Metazoa, Arthropoda, Insecta, Lepidoptera, Crambidae. The record is from RefSeq and is a predicted model, not a curated record. The transcript has 4 exons.
AACCGCGCGGCAACCGCCCGCCUCGGGAGUGCAGUGUGUGACCGCCCUAACAUUACAUACAUCGGACUGUUGAGAUCACAGUGACGCUCGAAAAUUCAGUGUACGUUCCAAAUUCAAAAAUCAAAACACAACGUUGUUCCAUUUCAAAAUCAAAGAAAUACGGAGCACACGCGGUGUUUUUGGGAAAUGUUUGUAAUUGGCAUUUAUAAGUGACGUGACAGUGUUUUGUGGACGCAGUGGAAGCACUACGGAAUCCCGAUCCCGUCUCUCUUGCUAUCCGACCCCGGCUCUCUUUGUGCGCUGUUGAAGGCAUCCCAGUGUUUGACAGUUGCCGAAAUAGUUCUCCAGUUUGACAAUCGGACGGUUGCAAGUGGACCAUUAUAAUAAUGUUUCGGAUUUGACAAUACACGAACACCGCUCUAUUUCUUGCUACAGAAUUGCUCGGUAAUACAUCAAUUUUGGUGGUGGCUAUGACGUUGAAGAUCAUAUAGCGCGCCAGGGUGGCGGCCUCCAAGUAUGGCGGUGGUGGGCUGUCGCUCGGCUCCGGCGUGUCGGUGAGGCGCGGCAUGAAGUGCGCGGGCGUCGCGGGCGCCGGCGACGAGCUCAUGCUCGGCUCCUGCUGGCUCGACCCCAAGGACGCGGCCUCGCC